This 775-nucleotide ribosomal RNA is filed under the name Halomonas sp. Its description in RNAcentral is "bacterial SSU rRNA". It matches the Rfam family "Bacterial small subunit ribosomal RNA", at positions 113 to 889 of the family's 1533-position model. Lineage: Bacteria; Pseudomonadati; Pseudomonadota; Gammaproteobacteria; Oceanospirillales; Halomonadaceae. The record is from RNAcentral.
AUGCAUAGGAAUCUGCCCGAUAGUGGGGGAUAACCUGGGGAAACCCAGGCUAAUACCGCAUACGUCCUACGGGAGAAAGGGGGCUCCGGCUCCCGCUAUGGGAUGAGCCUAUGUCGGAUUAGCUAGUUGGUGAGGUAACGGCUCACCAAGGCCACGAUCCGUAGCUGGUCUGAGAGGAUGAUCAGCCACAUCGGGACUGAGACACGGCCCGAACUCCUACGGGAGGCAGCAGUGGGGAAUAUUGGACAAUGGGGGAAACCCUGAUCCAGCCAUGCCGCGUGUGUGAAGAAGGCCCUCGGGUUGUAAAGCACUUUCAGCGAGGAAGAACGCCUAGCGGUUAAUACCCGCUAGGAAAGACAUCACUCGCAGAAGAAGCACCGGCUAACUCCGUGCCAGCAGCCGCGGUAAUACGGAGGGUGCAAGCGUUAAUCGGAAUUACUGGGCGUAAAGCGCGCGUAGGUGGCUUGAUAAGCCGGUUGUGAAAGCCCCGGGCUCAACCUGGGAACGGCAUCCGGAACUGUCAAGCUAGAGUGCAGGAGAGGAAGGUAGAAUUCCCGGUGUAGCGGUGAAAUGCGUAGAGAUCGGGAGGAAUACCAGUGGCGAAGGCGGCCUUCUGGACUGACACUGACACUGAGGUGCGAAAGCGUGGGUAGCAAACAGGAUUAGAUACCCUGGUAGUCCACGCCGUAAACGAUGUCGACCAGCCGUUGGGUGCCUAGCGCACUUUGUGGCGAAGUUAACGCGAUAAGUCGACCGCCUGGGGGAGUACGGCCGC